CGCGGACCUCAUCUCAGUGUCCAUCCAGCUAUUCCAGGAGACCGUGACUGUGUUACUACCUUCAUUUCCCAGACAGCAAAACCAAGCCGCUCUGGGACUGGGCCCCGCUGCCUCUCUCCAGAGACGAGCCUGUGUCCCUGCAACACGCUGCCUCCAGUGAGUGGCUCGACGCUGGAGGGAUGGCGAACACAGAAACCAGCUUCGCACCGGCUGGAUGUCUGCUGCCUCUCGGAGAUGCACUUAAUCCUGGUUUGAUCUUGAGAAAAACAUCAGACAAGUCCAGUCGAGGGAUAUUCUAUAAGACACCUGAUUGGCGUUCCACAAAACUGUCCCAGCCAAGAGCCUAAGGAGGUUGAAUUGCAUAUAUGUUUUAUGUAUAGCUAUAUAAAAGAUAUGAUAUAUAUCUAUAUUUUAUAGGCGUAUAUGUAUACAUAAUGUAUCACAUAUAAUAAAUAUAUAAAGCUUAUAAAAUAUAAAAUAUAUAUGUACAUACGCCUUGGCUCCUUUCCUGAUAAACAAACUGUGUUGUAACUGUUUUCUUGACAGGCUUGUCAAACUCAGUGCUGCCCAACCUGGAAUAAGCACUCUGUCCCCAAAACUUGUCCCUUCCCCUGUGUCUGCAGACUUGCUGAGUGGCUCCACCAUUAUUCAGAUUGCCCAGAACACAAAAUUGGUCAUUUACCCAAGAAUUUGCUUCCCUGUCCCCUGCCCCUUGUCCACAUGCCCAAGCCCUGUCCCUCCCGCCGUCCGGCUCUCCCUGCAGCCUGUCCCUGCCUCUGUGGCCCAGUCCCAGUCUCUGCCCCUCUGCCAUAUGAUCUCCCAGCCUACCUGCCUGCCUUUACUUUUGUGUUUUUUCAAACCUGUCCUCCAACUGAUGCCAAUGUAAGGUCCUUGAAGUGCAAAAUUCCCUUGUUUAGAAUGCUCAACUUCACCUUUAAAAUAAAUGACUCAUAGAUGAAAAGAGAGAAAAGAUGGCUAAUAGAGGGAACAUCAGUGUUUAAGGGGUAGAGGGGCCUCUGCCUCAAACUAAGAAAAUGUGGUCAGGGGAGACAGAUGUGGAGGACAAAGGGGAAGCUACCAGGGAGGGAGCUGUUGAUGCUGGUAAAUGGUGAAAAAUUAGUCUAAUAAAAACUGGAAACAUAUUCUGCAGUCAGAAUAUCAUUGCCGACCUUCACAAAGUCUGCCAGGCGGGUAGUGGAGAUGGAAAUGGACUCCUGCGAGGGCAGGAGUGAGACGGCAGGAUUCAGAUGGGCCUCUCGGGCGGCAGAGGCCCAAGUCACUUCCAUUCUUUAAAGUAAAAUUUGCUGAGGUAUAGUUUAUAUGUAAUAAAAUUCAUCUGUGUUAGGUUUUGGGUGGGAGUUUGCUUUCAUUCUCUUGGGUAAUUACCUAGACGCCAGAUUACUGAAUUUUGCAGUUAGUGUGUUUUUUGUUUUAUAAUAAAAUGCCAAACUACUUUCUAAAAAAGUGCCUGUACCAUUCUGUAUCCCCACCACCAGAACACUAGAGUUCUCCACAUUCUUGCCAAUAUUUGGUAUUGUCACCUCUCUCUAUAUAAUAAUACUCA
Long non-coding RNA from Manis javanica (Malayan pangolin), 1564 nucleotides. RefSeq lists it as uncharacterized. The record is from RefSeq and is a predicted model, not a curated record. NCBI's taxonomy places the organism in Eukaryota, Metazoa, Chordata, Mammalia, Pholidota, Manidae.